UACACCAAGGGGGAGGGUCCUCAUUCUCAACAAUGAAGCUUUCCUAUCUUUUGAUUUCACUGUUCACGGCUCCACUGCGUGUUCACUCCAGUGUCCAACUUGUGGAAUCUGGGCCAAAUAUUCUGCAACCUGGGCAAUCCCUCCAUCUAACUUGCACUGUUACUGGAGAUUCUGUGAAAAAUGUAUUGUGGGAUUGGGUUCGUCAGGCUCCUGGAAAAGGACUGGAAUGGUUGGGCGAGAUAGACUGGGAUAGCGAUAAGGCGCACAUACUAUAACCCAUCUGUGCAAAGCCGAUCCACUCUCACAGCUGAUUCCUCCAAAAAUGAGUAUUAUCUGGAGUUGAGAUCUCUGACAGCUGCAGACUCAGCAACUUAUUACUGUGCACGAGGAACACAGUGA
Anolis sagrei ordinatus is the source of this 399-nucleotide non-coding RNA. The record is from the annotation of a RefSeq genome assembly. NCBI's taxonomy places the organism in Eukaryota, Metazoa, Chordata, Lepidosauria, Squamata, Anolidae.